RNAcentral lists this long non-coding RNA (641 nucleotides) under Capra hircus (goat). RNAcentral describes it as "lncRNA (ENSCHIG00010009730.1)". Lineage: Eukaryota; Metazoa; Chordata; Mammalia; Artiodactyla; Bovidae. The record is from RNAcentral.
GAACUGAAAUGAAGAUUUUAAAAAGAUUUCAGUUUUGAGGAAUCUUUGCUCUCUCUAACUCAUAACAAUGGUAUGAGAAUGUCCUUUUGCAAUUCUUAAUCGGAGAUGGAAUUUAAAAGUUAAUUGACUUGGCAAACAGGUUUACAAGGUCUGCAGUGCUCAGAGGCAGAUCAUAGCUGUUACGUGGGCAGCACACCGGGCUCAGUGACUCCGUCUUCUCAAACAUCCAGUGUUAGUGAAAGUCAAAUGGAGAUUUCCCUUGCUGCCUAUCAGGCAAAACAAAACUGACUGUGUAAACCUGACUCGAGGAAAGAGCAGGCGUAAGGAAACGAGGCCGCAAAAGGGUGGAGUGCAGACUCCUGCUGGAUGUCCUUGCAGCCGUGGAGCUCUGUGCAGCUGUGCAGCCCCCAAGUACCCCAGGGGGAGAGAGAAUAGGAAUUCAUCUUUUAUGACCCAAUUAUGUUCCUAAAUGAAGUUAUUUGAUGACUACAUUCCAAGGAUAGCUUCUAUCAACUCCUAGAGGGUCUAGCAUGUGCUUUCCACGUGGACACAUAAAAUAUUUGUGGAAUGAAUUUUGGAAGCAUUAAGCUAUUACAAAUAGCUGUGAAAAGAAGAGAAGCGAAAAGGAAAGAUAUAAGCAU